CCCAAGGGGCUCAGUGGUAGAGCAUUUGACUGCAGCUCAAGCGGUCCCUGAUUCAAAUCUGUGUGCACCAGGGG
Ameiurus melas (black bullhead) is the source of this 74-nucleotide non-coding RNA. The record is from the annotation of a GenBank genome assembly. NCBI's taxonomy places the organism in Eukaryota, Metazoa, Chordata, Actinopteri, Siluriformes, Ictaluridae.